RNAcentral lists this small RNA (129 nucleotides) under Sinorhizobium meliloti 2011. Its description in RNAcentral is "putative ncRNA". The record is from RNAcentral. Lineage: Bacteria; Pseudomonadati; Pseudomonadota; Alphaproteobacteria; Hyphomicrobiales; Rhizobiaceae.
AGGCGGCCUUGUGGAUGAUCUGAUCGUUGGCGCGGAUCGGCAUGGAGUUCUUUCGGACGGAAACCCUGACAUAAUUCAUCACAUGUGACAAAUGUCAAGCAUCGCUGCUUCGACCCAUGAGGCCGGGCC